RNAcentral lists this ribosomal RNA (2793 nucleotides) under Escherichia coli. Its description in RNAcentral is "partial 23S ribosomal RNA". It matches the Rfam family "Bacterial large subunit ribosomal RNA". Lineage: Bacteria; Pseudomonadati; Pseudomonadota; Gammaproteobacteria; Enterobacterales; Enterobacteriaceae. The record is from RNAcentral.
GGUUAAGCGACUAAGCGUACACGGUGGAUGCCCUGGCAGUCAGAGGCGAUGAAGGACGUGCUAAUCUGCGAUAAGCGUCGGUAAGGUGAUAUGAACCGUUAUAACCGGCGAUUUCCGAAUGGGGAAACCCAGUGUGUUUCGACACACUAUCAUUAACUGAAUCCAUAGGUUAAUGAGGCGAACCGGGGGAACUGAAACAUCUAAGUACCCCGAGGAAAAGAAAUCAACCGAGAUUCCCCCAGUAGCGGCGAGCGAACGGGGAGCAGCCCAGAGCCUGAAUCAGUGUGUGUGUUAGUGGAAGCGUCUGGAAAGGCGCGCGAUACAGGGUGACAGCCCCGUACACAAAAAUGCACAUGCUGUGAGCUCGAUGAGUAGGGCGGGACACGUGGUAUCCUGUCUGAAUAUGGGGGGACCAUCCUCCAAGGCUAAAUACUCCUGACUGACCGAUAGUGAACCAGUACCGUGAGGGAAAGGCGAAAAGAACCCCGGCGAGGGGAGUGAAAAAGAACCUGAAACCGUGUACGUACAAGCAGUGGGAGCACGCUUAGGCGUGUGACUGCGUACCUUUUGUAUAAUGGGUCAGCGACUUAUAUUCUGUAGCAAGGUUAACCGAAUAGGGGAGCCGAAGGGAAACCGAGUCUUAACUGGGCGUUAAGUUGCAGGGUAUAGACCCGAAACCCGGUGAUCUAGCCAUGGGCAGGUUGAAGGUUGGGUAACACUAACUGGAGGACCGAACCGACUAAUGUUGAAAAAUUAGCGGAUGACUUGUGGCUGGGGGUGAAAGGCCAAUCAAACCGGGAGAUAGCUGGUUCUCCCCGAAAGCUAUUUAGGUAGCGCCUCGUGAAUUCAUCUCCGGGGGUAGAGCACUGUUUCGGCAAGGGGGUCAUCCCGACUUACCAACCCGAUGCAAACUGCGAAUACCGGAGAAUGUUAUCACGGGAGACACACGGCGGGUGCUAACGUCCGUCGUGAAGAGGGAAACAACCCAGACCGCCAGCUAAGGUCCCAAAGUCAUGGUUAAGUGGGAAACGAUGUGGGAAGGCCCAGACAGCCAGGAUGUUGGCUUAGAAGCAGCCAUCAUUUAAAGAAAGCGUAAUAGCUCACUGGUCGAGUCGGCCUGCGCGGAAGAUGUAACGGGGCUAAACCAUGCACCGAAGCUGCGGCAGCGACGCUUAUGCGUUGUUGGGUAGGGGAGCGUUCUGUAAGCCUGUGAAGGUGUGCUGUGAGGCAUGCUGGAGGUAUCAGAAGUGCGAAUGCUGACAUAAGUAACGAUAAAGCGGGUGAAAAGCCCGCUCGCCGGAAGACCAAGGGUUCCUGUCCAACGUUAAUCGGGGCAGGGUGAGUCGACCCCUAAGGCGAGGCCGAAAGGCGUAGUCGAUGGGAAACAGGUUAAUAUUCCUGUACUUGGUGUUACUGCGAAGGGGGGACGGAGAAGGCUAUGUUGGCCGGGCGACGGUUGUCCCGGUUUAAGCGUGUAGGCUGGUUUUCCAGGCAAAUCCGGAAAAUCAAGGCUGAGGCGUGAUGACGAGGCACUACGGUGCUGAAGCAACAAAUGCCCUGCUUCCAGGAAAAGCCUCUAAGCAUCAGGUAACAUCAAAUCGUACCCCAAACCGACACAGGUGGUCAGGUAGAGAAUACCAAGGCGCUUGAGAGAACUCGGGUGAAGGAACUAGGCAAAAUGGUGCCGUAACUUCGGGAGAAGGCACGCUGAUAUGUAGGUGAAGUCCCUCGCGGAUGGAGCUGAAAUCAGUCGAAGAUACCAGCUGGCUGCAACUGUUUAUUAAAAACACAGCACUGUGCAAACACGAAAGUGGACGUAUACGGUGUGACGCCUGCCCGGUGCCGGAAGGUUAAUUGAUGGGGUCAGCGCAAGCGAAGCUCUUGAUCGAAGCCCCGGUAAACGGCGGCCGUAACUAUAACGGUCCUAAGGUAGCGAAAUUCCUUGUCGGGUAAGUUCCGACCUGCACGAAUGGCGUAAUGAUGGCCAGGCUGUCUCCACCCGAGACUCAGUGAAAUUGAACUCGCUGUGAAGAUGCAGUGUACCCGCGGCAAGACGGAAAGACCCCGUGAACCUUUACUAUAGCUUGACACUGAACAUUGAGCCUUGAUGUGUAGGAUAGGUGGGAGGCUUAGAAGUGUGGACGCCAGUCUGCAUGGAGCCGACCUUGAAAUACCACCCUUUAAUGUUUGAUGUUCUAACGUUGACCCCUAAUCGGGGUUGCGGACAGUGUCUGGUGGGUAGUUUGACUGGGGCGGUCUCCUCCUAAAGAGUAACGGAGGAGCACGAAGGUUGGCUAAUCCUGGUCGGACAUCAGGAGGUUAGUGCAAUGGCAUAAGCCAGCUUGACUGCGAGCGUGACGGCGCGAGCAGGUGCGAAAGCAGGUCAUAGUGAUCCGGUGGUUCUGAAUGGAAGGGCCAUCGCUCAACGGAUAAAAGGUACUCCGGGGAUAACAGGCUGAUACCGCCCAAGAGUUCAUAUCGACGGCGGUGUUUGGCACCUCGAUGUCGGCUCAUCACAUCCUGGGGCUGAAGUAGGUCCCAAGGGUAUGGCUGUUCGCCAUUUAAAGUGGUACGCGAGCUGGGUUUAGAACGUCGUGAGACAGUUCGGUCCCUAUCUGCCGUGGGCGCUGGAGAACUGAGGGGGGCUGCUCCUAGUACGAGAGGACCGGAGUGGACGCAUCACUGGUGUUCGGGUUGUCAUGCCAAUGGCACUGCCCGGUAGCUAAAUGCGGAAGAGAUAAGUGCUGAAAGCAUCUAAGCACGAAACUUGCCCCGAGAUGAGUUCUCCCUGAC